Molecule: ribosomal RNA, 320 nt
Filed under: uncultured Glomeromycotina
Lineage: Eukaryota; Fungi; Glomeromycota
Description: SSU rRNA
Rfam family: Eukaryotic small subunit ribosomal RNA
Source: RNAcentral
AGCAGCCGCGGUAAUUCCAGCUCCAAUAGCGUAUAUUAAAGUUGUUGCAGUUAAAAGCUCGUAGUUGAAUUUCGGGAUCAAUAUGUUGGUCGUGCCUCGGUACGUACUAGCAUAUUGGUUUCUCCUUUCUGAAGAACCAUGACGUCAUUUAUUUGGUGUCGUGGGGAAUCAGGACUGUUACUUUAGAAAAAUUGAGUGUUUAAAGCAGGCUCACGCUUGAAUACAUUAGCAUGGAAUAAUGAAAUAGGACGUUUGAUUCUUAUUUUGUUGGUUUCUAGGAUCGACGUAAUGAUUAAUAGGGAUAGUUGGGGGCUAUUAGU